This is a long non-coding RNA of Eriocheir sinensis (Chinese mitten crab), 2810 nucleotides long. RefSeq lists it as uncharacterized. The transcript has 4 exons. The record is from RefSeq and is a predicted model, not a curated record. NCBI's taxonomy places the organism in Eukaryota, Metazoa, Arthropoda, Malacostraca, Decapoda, Varunidae.
AACCACACUAUUAGAAUUAGGCAUUUUAAAAUGUGAUAAUGCAGAAUCCUGGGUGCUUCUCUUCUUCUCAAGGUUAUGGCGGGGGUCGAAGCUCCCUAAUGGGGGGGUCUGUAAUGCGCUUUCAGCCUGUAACUAUGUCUGGGGCUUCCUGUACCUCGUGUGCAUGGCCACGUGGGUUUGUCUGCAUUUUUGGAAGCCGCCAAUGGCCUCUUAAAGCUAUGACUCAGUUAAUUUUGAAUCUCUAACAUGGUAGCUACACGUUUUUUUUUUUUUUUUUUUCGUUGGGAGGAAGGCAACCCCCCAGACGGCCGGUAGAGAGAUAUGCUAUGGCCUACUUUUUAUAUAACAUGGUCCUCAUAAACCCACAAAUCACUCAGGAUAUUAUGUAAAAAGUAACCACCAUUUGUCAAACUCAAGAAAGUGAUUAGGCAGGGAUAACUAACCAAGCCAAUCACCCCAAUUAAUAAAAAAGACAAUACUGAUCAAAUAACAAGCUGUCAGUCUGUAAUAACUAACAUGUAUUGCACUGGUAUAAGACCUGUGGACAAACUCGUGACAAUAAAAUAUGAGAGGGAAUUGUGAGCACCGGAAGCAGCCAAACCUUGAAGUGAAACAAAGCACUCAGGUCUCAUUUACCUAGAAACACCAUAAUUUUGUAGAAGCCAUGACACCCAGAUCUUAGUUAGAAAUACCAUAAGUGUAGUAGCAGUACAGAUAUAAUUGCAUAGUCAGCCAUCAAUGAACAGGUGGUGAGGAAUAUUUAUGCUAAGGGGAGACAGGUGGUCCUAGAUUAAGAGGUAAAUGGAGCACAAAGAGGAUUAAUGUUCUCAUAUACUUAAAAAUACCAUGUGUAAGUAGCAGUAUGGAUAUAUUAAGUGAAUAGACAGCCAUAGAAGAUAAUGAAUAUAAGCCAAGGGGAGACAUGCAGGUGGUAUUAAAUUAAGGGGUAAAUGGAGCACAAAGAGGAUUAAUGUUCUCAUAUACUUAAAAAUACCAUGUGUAAGUAGCAGUAUGGAUAUAUUAAGUGCAUAGACAGCCAUAGAAGAUAAUGAAUAUAAGCCAAGGGGAGACAUGCAGGUGGUAUUAAAUUAAGGGGUAAAUGGAGCACAAAGAGGAUUAAUGUUCUCAUAUACCUACAAAUACCAUGAAUGUAAUUAGCAGUACAUAUAUAAAUUCAUAAUCAGUCAUCAAUAAACAAUAUUGAGAAAUAAAGCUAAGGGAGAACAUAUAUGGAGCCAGAUUAUGGGGUAAAUGGAGCACAAGGUGAAUUAAUGUUUUCAUAUACCUUUAAAUGAUAUAAGUGUAAAUAGCAGUACAGACAUAAGUGCAUAGACAGCCAUUUAAGUAAAGGUAGUGAGGAAUAUAAGGCAAUUCGGGGGCAGACCCAGCUAGAUGAAGGGCGAAGUGGAGUACAAAAUGAUUUAAUGUUCUCAUAUAAUUAAAAAUACAAGUGUAAGUAGCAGUACAUAUAUAAGUGCAUAGACAGCCAUAGAAAUAGAGAUAGUAAUAUAAGCUAAGGGCAGACUAUUGUAAGGGGUGAAGAGCUGGAUUAAUAUUCUCAUAUACCUAAAAAAAUACCAUAAGCGUUAGUAGCAGUAAAGACAUAAGAAAUAAGGGAUAGUAGUAAAUGUAGUGAGGAAUAUAAGCAAGAAAAUAAGGGACAGUGGUAAAGGUAGUGAGGAAUAUAAGCAAGAAAAUAAGGGACAGUGGUAAAGGUAGUGAGGAAUAUAAGCAAGAAAAUAAGGGACAGUGGUAAAGGUAGUGAGGAAUAUAAGCAAGAAAAUAAGGGAUAGUGGUAAAGGUAGUGAGGAAUAUAAGCAAGAAAAUAAGGGACAGUGGUAAAGGUAGUGAGGAAUAUAAGCAAGAAAAUAAGGGACAGUGGUAAAGGUAGUGAGGAAUAUAAGCAAGAAAAUAAGGGAUAGUGGUAAAGGUAGUGAGGAAUAUAAGCAAGAAAAUAAGGGAUAGUGGUAAAGAUAGUGAGGAAUAUAAGCAAGAAAAUAAGGGAUAGUGGUAAAGGUAGUGAGGAAUAUAAGCAAGAAAAUAAGGGAUAGUGGUAAAGGUAGUGAGGAAUAUAAGCAAGAAAAUAAGGGACAGUGGUAAAGGUAGUGAGGAAUAUAAGCAAGAAAAUAAGGGACAGUGGUAAAGGUAGUGAGGAAUAUAAGCAAGAAAAUAAGGGAUAGUGGUAAAGGUAGUGAGGAAUAUAAGCAAGAAAAUAAGGGACAGUGGUAAAGGUAGUGAGGAAUAUAAGCAAGAAAAUAAGGGAUAGUGGUAAAGGUAGUGAGGAAUAUAAGCAAGAAAAUAAGGGAUAGACGUAAAGGUAGUGAGGAAUAUAAGCAAGAAAAUAAGGGAUAGUGGUAAAGGUAGUGAGGAAUAUAAGCAAGAUUAAGGGGUAAAUGGGGCACAAAGAUUGAUUAAUGUUCUCAUAUAUCUAGAAAUACCAUAAGUGUAAGUAGCAAUGCAGAUAUGAGUGCAUAGAGAGCCCCAGUAGUAAAGGUAGAGAUGAAUAUAAGCUAAAGGGAAGGAUAAUGAGAUAAGGGGGGCCAGAUCCAUGGAGCACAAGAUGGAUUGAUGUUCUCAUACACAUAAAAAUACCAUAAGUGUAAGUAGCAGUAGAUAUAAGUGCAUAGGAACCCAAUGCAGUUGAAGAAGGAAGGAAUAUAUGCUAAGGGGGAGGGAUAUAAGCUAAGGGGGGAGCUACAGAUUAAGGGGUAAAUGGAACACAUAUACCUAAAAUACCAUAAGUGUAAGUAGCAUACAGCCAUAUAAGUAAAGGUAGUGAGGAGUAUAAGCUAAGGGGGAGGAAUAUAUGA